Molecule: unclassified non-coding RNA, 369 nt
Filed under: uncultured fungus
Lineage: Eukaryota; Fungi
Description: partial contains small subunit ribosomal RNA, internal transcribed spacer 1, and 5.8S ribosomal RNA
Rfam family: Eukaryotic small subunit ribosomal RNA (bases 1-73)
Source: RNAcentral
UCAAACUUGGUCAUUUAGAGGAAGUAAAAGUCGUAACAAGGUUUCCGUAGGUGAACCUGCGGAAGGAUCAUUAAAAAGGAAUUUACACAUGAAUCUCCUCUUUUUUAAGUGGAAGUUCAAAUGUAAACUCUUGUGCACUUGAUUUUUUGGUAGUCGUUUCCUUUUUUCGAAAAGAGAAAGGGGGAAUGGUUCCUCUGAAAAGGAACCAGAAGAUUACCAAAAGGUUUAAAACUCUUAAAAAUAUUUUGUCGUGUUAUUUUUUACAAAUAACAUAAUGUCUGAUGUGUUUGGUUAUGAACUUGUUUUAUAAUUAAAAUUACAACUUUUGACAACGGAUCUCUUGGCUCUCGCAUCGAUGAAGAACGCAGC